RNAcentral lists this ribosomal RNA (253 nucleotides) under uncultured bacterium. RNAcentral's name for it is "partial 16S ribosomal RNA". It matches the Rfam family "Bacterial small subunit ribosomal RNA", at positions 524 to 776 of the family's 1533-position model. The record is from RNAcentral.
UCCGUAGGGGCCUAGCGUUGUCCGGAAUCACUGGGCGUAAAGCGCACGUAGGCGGCUUUUUAAGUCAGGGGUGAAAUCCUGGAGCUCAACUCCAGAACUGCCUUUGAUACUGAGAAGCUUGAGUCCGGGAGAGGUGAGUGGAACUGCGAGUGUAGAGGUGAAAUUCGUAGAUAUUCGCAAGAACACCAGUGGCGAAGGCGGCUCACUGGCCCGGUACUGACGCUGAGGUGCGAAAGCGUGGGGAGCAAACAGG